This 960-nucleotide long non-coding RNA is filed under the name Macaca mulatta (Rhesus monkey). RNAcentral describes it as "lncRNA (ENSMMUG00000047129.2)". The record is from RNAcentral. Lineage: Eukaryota; Metazoa; Chordata; Mammalia; Primates; Cercopithecidae.
CUGAAUUGAUUUAAUAUUAGUUGAUUUAUAUAUACAAGGUUCCUAUAAAAUAAUUCUUUCAACUAUAUUAAAGAUUGCCCUUACAAAUGUUUUGAACAAAACGUACCAAUUUUGGUCCAGGACCUUGUGUAGACACACGCUUAAGAGAUUUUUGAUAGCUACUUUCCUCCAUCGUUCAUUACCCUUAAUAUACUACCUUUCCCUAAGAUAGGGAAAAACAUAAAGAGACCCAAGAAAUAAAAAUGACCUAUCAUUCAUUGUUCUAUUAUUCUUCUUGGUAGUUUUACAACACAUUAUGCAAUUUCUAGGGAAAACAGUUCGCUGCAUUUUGUUGGUAACAAGUCAAGUAAACAUAAAUUUGAGUCCAAGUUAAGUAUUAUGCCUUUUGAAGAUUUUAUUUCUGGUGUUCUGCACAGUGUCACCAGGUUUCCACGGCAAUAUAGCUGUAACAUUCCUUCUGAGAGAGCUUCCAUCAGGCACACUGGAUCGGAUUUAUGUCAUGGACCCCCACAAGACUGGAAGACAAUUUAAACUUCAAGCAGUAUUGACUUACCUAUCAAUCACUAAGUAUAUAUGACAUUCUCAGAGAAGAAAUCAUAAACAUUGAGAGUUGCCAUACAUAAUGAUGACCUUCAACACAUAUGAAAGAAAUCACCAAGGAUUGGAAGUUGGCUGAUAAAACUGGCAUCAGAAAGACCAUUCAAAAUGAAGAACCAGUGUCAAGAUCCUGGUUACCCUUCUUGCCAUUACUCCCAAAGUAGCCUUUACAUGGAUCCAGGAGUCAGAUAUGUUUUUCUUUGCAACAAAACAAUGUCAUUGCGAGUACACCUGGACAAAACUUUCGGGAUCUGUAAAGAGACACAACUGUUUUACAGUUCGAUUGGAACUGGGGAGGAAUUUAAAAGAAUCACAGUAAGCCGUCUGGUCUUUUCCAGGAGGAUAAUCAACAACAUUGACUGA